AAUCAUAUGAUGGUGAAUUGUAAAUUCACAUUAGAACACUUUUAACCUUGAAAGUUAACAGAACAUUAUCUUAUUA
This 76-nucleotide transfer RNA is filed under the name Cheiracanthium insigne. RNAcentral describes it as "tRNA-Tyr". The record is from RNAcentral. Lineage: Eukaryota; Metazoa; Arthropoda; Arachnida; Araneae; Cheiracanthiidae.